Molecule: RNA transcript, 2592 nt
Organism: Triticum dicoccoides
Lineage: Eukaryota; Viridiplantae; Streptophyta; Magnoliopsida; Poales; Poaceae
Exons: 5
Source: RefSeq, a predicted model, not a curated record
AUAAGACAGCACCGAUCUCCCCAAACCUCCCUAAUUUUUUGCCAACAGCAUAUCGAUCUUGUUCUUGGCUGCGUGGUUGAGAGUGCCGAUAGUCUCCAUUCCAGAAAUUUUCGGGUUGAAUUGGAUCCCAAACCCCACUCCUCAGGAAGUCCGCCGGCCAUCGCCAUGGGCAGCCGGUUUGUGAAUCUGUUGGCCAGGAGCUGCAACGGCGGCCCCAGACACUUCAGCCUGCACCGUAUGAAUCCCGCAAAUUUGUUUCACCCAACCAGGUCAGCGGUUCCAGCGGUUCAACCGUUAGCAGAUGCUCCUCUGCCCCCCCCUGCUCUAUCCUUCGGCUGGCCCGGCAAGAAGGGCGAACUCGCGUGGAUGAAUUUCAUGGCUUUCGGCCGCACCGGGAACAAUUUUUUGGCCGUGGACCAGAUAGGCAGGACCUUCUUUUACGACACUGACUCGCGUUCGCUCCGCACUGGAAUGCCCAUGAUGUGCAAGCCCAUCAUGGACCCGAUCUCCAUUGCCGUUGGUGACAGCCUCUACGUCAUGAGCGGUAACCCUGGCCCGUCGCCUGGGAAGCAUUGCUUCCAGGCUCUCAUCCACGGCCGCCUUCCUGCAAGCGACACCAAUGAUUGGUCCUGGUAUUCGCUUCAGCCGCCACCUCCCUUCGUGAACGACAUUCCCCGCUUCCAUGAAGAUGAGGUCAAAUCCAGUUGCGGUGACGUUCCAGCCCCCUAUGAAAUCGGUGCCUACACUGUGGUUGGCGAAUCACAGAUCUGGGUAUCCACAGCAGGUGCCGGCACAUACUCGUAUGACACUGUGAGUGGUGCAUGGAGCAAGGUAGGCAACUGGUCACUGCCGUUCAGAGGCCGUGCCGAGUACAUCCCUGAGCACAACCUCUGGUUUGGCUUCACACCCAACAAUUUGCAGCUGUGCACAUCGGACCUCACUGCCUCAUCUGAGGUGAGGCCGCCCGUUCUGCAGAAUAUGUGGACAGACGUGGUCAGGCCAAAAAAUUGGACCCUGAGAGAUGCCAGCCUCGUGCCGCUGGGCUCUGGCAAAGUCUGCAUUGCCAGGUUCUUCGUAACUCAUUCAGACAACUUUGAGGAUAUGUCAGCCUAUAAGAAAAGAGAGAAUUUUGCUGUUCUCGAGGGUGUGGAAGUGUUGAAGGCUGGGUGGGCUCACCUCCGGAUGGUUAAGCACAAGUCGGAGCGUUACGUCUUCGGCCGUGACCUUGUCAUACCGCUCUGAUAAUUUCUACUUCAUAUAUGGCAGAAUGAUCUCUGUGCACUCAAGAUCCGGGUCGCCAAUCCCAUCCUGUGAACUGUAUGUCUGCAGAUAAUUCACUGCUCAAAACCAGAGCUAACACUUUUAAUGUAUGUAAAGAAUUCUCAGCAUCAGGCUUGCUCUUUCCUUGGACUCCAUUAAGGAAGCACAUGUGUCUCACACAUCCCACAGAGAGUGGACAACAGGCUCCUCUACACAGGUGAUCUUCGGGUUUGAUCCAUUUCAACAUCCGGUGAUCCCAAAGAAUUUGAUAAAUUUGGCAAAGUAAUCUCCAACUUGAGAUGCAUUAGCCUCUGAUGAUCUUCCUUGUAUAUAUGAGACCCAUCUUCUUAAGCUUCCUUAGGUAUGACAAAACAUGACAUUCUGAAUUUCUGCAGUAAACCAGCUGCUUUUCAGGGUCAUCUGGAUUGAACUCGCUAUCACCGUAAUAAUAAUAUUGUGUCAGCAUCAGGCUGCGCAUCAUUACCCCAUCCGUCUGACCAAAUUUCAGAUCUUCUGUCAUGCCAUGCAUCAACAGCUCAAAUGCAUUGAACAGAGCUUGUCCUCGUUCAUCUUGAGGCAUAGCACUUGUAUGGAUUAGAAUAGCUGAGCCCAUGGUUUCCUCAUUUGUUCCAGCAAGUCAUACACUUCUGGUAACCGAACAGAGUUCUUACAUCCAUGAGAUAGGAUAUGAUCCAACACAUUAGCUGCUAAAAUUGUGUCGACUGCAGAGCUUGUCAAGCCUCAGCAAUGUGCCGUCAGCAAUUUGUACCCUACCAAAUUGGUCGCUGGAGAAUGAAUCAAUUGUAACAGCCAACAGAACAUUGUGGCCACCACAAAAACGGUAGCCUACAAUGCUCGGUUAAAUGGGAUUAAGUGGUACCGCAAAGAUUGGAAGUAAUCAGAUGGCAUAGAGGCCUCGGUUCACGUCGACUCGGCGCACACAGCUGGCAUGUCAGGUGAUGGCGCGAUGAAAGCUGCGUGGGGUCGUUCCACCGCGUACUGGGACGCUGAAGCUCUCUCUGGCCCACAAAUCAGUGACGUUGGUCUACCGGGGUUGGUCUAUGCAACGAAUUCCGUAUAGAAGGAAGUGCCGUGCAGCUGGAUGGCUGUGCUGGGCACUAGUUUCCCGCCAAAAUUUCAUUCGCUGGGAGGAGGUUUUUUUUUUUUUGAGAAUAUUCACUGGGAGGAGGUGGUUUCAGUUUGUAUCCUAUCCUCCUUUUCCCAGUUCCAUUCGCUCACUUUCAAAUACUCCCUCCGUUCCUAAAUAUUUCUCUUUUUAGAGAUUUCAAAUGUACUACCACAUACGGAUGUAUAUAGACAUAUUUUAGAGUA